Molecule: long non-coding RNA, 1385 nt
Filed under: Equus caballus (horse)
Lineage: Eukaryota; Metazoa; Chordata; Mammalia; Perissodactyla; Equidae
Description: lncRNA (ENSECAG00000051397.1)
Source: RNAcentral
GCAGAUAGAAUUAAGGUAGCUGACUCAGCUGGCCUUAAAGUGGGGCCAUCCUCCUGGAGAAUCCACGUGGGCCUAAUGUAAUCACGAGGGUCUUUAUAAGUGAAAGAGGGAGGUGGGAAAGUUGGAGUCAGAGUCAGAGAAGGAGAUGUGAUGACGGAAACAGAGAUUGGAGUGAUGUGAUUGCUGCUUUAGAGAUGGAAGGGGGCCACAAGCCAAGGAAUGCAGGCAGCCUCUUGUAACUGGAGAAGUCAGGGACAUGGAUUCUCUCCUGGAGUUUCUGGAAGAAAACAGCCCUGCUGACACCUUGGUUUUAGCCCUGUGAGACCCAUUUGGAACUUCUGACCUCCAAAACUAAGGCUCGCUGGAACGGAGACCACCCCCAGAGAAGUUUUAGAGACUAAAUGUUGAAGAUGGCAGAGCUGAAAGUGCUUGACCCGCCCAUUCCCUUGCCCCUGAAUCUUUGCUUGGAGUAGAGACACUUCAUGAUAGGAAGCACUCGUUUUGGAAUUUACGUGACUGAGAAACGUAUAUUGUGUCAAGGUGCUGAUAUUGAAGGGUUGUUUGUUACAGCCGUUAGCCUACGCUGACAGAUACAGCCUCUGCAGACUGAGGAUAUGGCAGGGAAGACUCUCCAGCACAAAUGGACUUUUGGUUUUAAACUUCUGACAUAAAUUUUCAAAACCCUGGAGACAGGGGCCGGCUCCGUGGCCGAGUGGUUAAGUUCGCGCGCUCUGCUGCGGUGGCCCAGGGUUCAGAUCCUGGGCGCGGACAUGGCACCGCUCAUCAGGCCACAUUGAGGCGGCGUCCCACAUCCCCCAGCUAGAAGGACAUGCAACUGUGUAUGGGGGGGUUUGGGGAGAUAAAGCAGAAAAAAAAAAAAAAGAUUGGCAACAGUUGUUAGCCCAGGUGCCAAUCUUUGGGGAAAAACAAAACAAAACAAAACAAAAAACCCUGGAGACAAUUUGCCUGGCCUCUUAUGAAGGUUUAUAAAGCAAGAUGCAGUAGCUGCAGAGGCCACAGCUGAGCAACUCUCAACCAUUUUCAACAGCUUAGAAGUAGAGAGAGAAGUGAAAUGCAGAGACUUCAUGUUCAAGCCUAAUAUAUUUCAUUAAACAAAGAUGAGACUUUAAUUACAUUAAGCCUUCCUUGAAAAGAAAUUAAAUUAUAGAAAGAACCUACUUUCUCGCAAUAGCAUAAUAAACUGUAGAAAGACCAUAUAAAGAGACAAACAAAAGAUUUUUAAUCAGACGAAAAGCAGCACCUUAAUGUUUAAUUUUGCUUUACAAGUGGAGAGGUAUAUAUAUAGUUUUGUUAAGCUUUCUUUUUUUUAAAAUUUCUUUUUAAAGAUUGGCACCUGAGCUAAUAUCUGUUGCCAAUCUUCUUCU